RNAcentral lists this long non-coding RNA (403 nucleotides) under Apteryx rowi (Okarito brown kiwi). Its description in RNAcentral is "lncRNA (ENSARWG00000005784.1)". Lineage: Eukaryota; Metazoa; Chordata; Aves; Apterygiformes; Apterygidae. The record is from RNAcentral.
UGGUGGGGGCUGGCAGCAGGAAGAUGAACUAGGCACAGGGAUGAGCUGUAAUAUCACACAGAUACACUCCAGCUUUGUGAAUGAAGAAGCCUGAAUGUGACACCUCUUGAUACCUUCUCACGUAACCUGUUUCAUCAGCUCUGGGCACAAGGAUGAUCAAGCAGGCAUCAAUGCAAGGGUCUGCAUCACCUACCUGUUCAGAAAUAUGGAGUGUCACCAUACAGAGCUGUAUUUUGAGAUCUUUGAGAGCUACACGAGGGAAGUGUCAGGUUCUCUCACAAAUGUUAGACAGCAACCAUAUCUCUCCAGGCUGGUCAAAGAGCAAUUGGGAAGAUAACAGCAUAACAGAGAAUUUGUCCUAAACAAAGAUUUCUAGACCGUGCUUGGUUCCUGCAGGUUACCG